CUUCCAAUUUCAAACUAGAGGCUCUAAAGAGCCUGUGUCGCUCACCUUGGUCUAUGUGAAUAUUAAAGGAAUCAGAUGGAUUCAUGACAAAAUUGAGUUUUGGUGAUGGUGAUGUGUUUGUACAUCUUACUUUACUGAACAUUCUUGCUGCUUACUAUUAUCUCUAUCUAUAAUGAACUUGGCCCAGUAGUUUCAGUUGAAAAUGUUAGUAAAAAUUUACAAAUUUUAUGAAAAUUGUUAAAAAUUGACUAUAAAGGACAAUACCUCCUUAGGGGGUCAAUUGACCAUUUUGGUCAUGUUGACUUAUCUUUAGGUCUUACUUUGCUGUACAUUAUUGCUGUUUACAGUUUAUCUUUAUCUAUAAUAAUAUUCAAUAUAAUAACAAAAAACGGCAAAAUUUCCUUAAAAUUACCAAUUCAGGGACAGCAACCCAACAAACAGUUGUCCAAUCCAUCUGAAAAUUUCAGGGCAGAUAGAUCUUGACCUGAUAAACAAUUUAAUCUGAUCAGAUUUGCUCUAAAUGCUUUGGUUUUUG
Molecule: long non-coding RNA, 535 nt
Filed under: Mytilus galloprovincialis (Mediterranean mussel)
Lineage: Eukaryota; Metazoa; Mollusca; Bivalvia; Mytilida; Mytilidae
Source: RNAcentral